UAAUUUUUGAUGCUUUCACUUCUGAUUUGUUAUUCAAAUUUCUGCAUAUUGAUUCCAGCUUCUCUUUGCAGCAUAUGAUAUCUAUGAUUGUUGCUUGAUUUUGGUAUUAAUUUUUGUUUCUUGCUCUAUUUUGUACAUGCAUCCAAUAGUUGUAUCUCAUUUGAUUUGAAAGUAGAUACAUAGAUGUAUAUUUCUGAUAUAGUAUUGUUUCUCAUUUUGCAUGGGUAAGAUUGUUAUGGGAGUAAAUGGGUUCUUCAAGGAUGAAAUUAGCAGUAAAAUUGUGAUCGUAUUUUCUCUAUGAUUGUUGAUCUAGAAUCUUUAUUCUGUCAUGAAGUUAUCUGUGAACAUGUGCUUUUGGUCCCCAUUCAGUGGAUAUGUUAUUUGACAUAUGAUCCAUACAUUUAUGAUUUUUUUCCCGUCUUUUCUUCAUAUUUUUUUUUGUGUGAAUGUGAUUGUUGUUCAAAUAUAGUAAUGAAACAUAGAAGAAUUUUGAUGCAGUCAAGGCAUUUGACGAUAUGAUCGAAACAACUGAAUAAUUUUUAUCCUUCUGUUUCCACAGGUAUUCAGCAACAUACACAUCCAUCAUACAUUAAGCGAAAGGUACAUUAUUUACUUUUAUAAAAUUAGUAAACAAUAUAGUACUAUAUGUUAUGUGCUGUUUGUCGGUCAUGUUAAAGAAAUUAUUCUCCCAUUUGCUUCCAAUAUAUCUUUAGUACAUUGUUGGUACUAUCUGUUUCACUUUCAUCAACAACAAAAGUAUUAAAUUAUAAAUAAUUUGACAAAUUUACAAGUUUUUGGAACAAGACUACCUACAUACAAAGACACUAUGGAUUGAGUACCUAAAUCUCAGUUGAAGAAGAAACAACGACUCUCUCAGUAUAUGCUCUGAGGGGAUUCGAGUCUUUUUCAUUUCAUGUUAAUGUUCAUUAGUUAGGACGUGCUAUGUUUGUGGUAUGCUUGGUUUUCUCAUCAUCUCUGUAGAUACUAUUAAUGAUUGAUGCUUUUCAAUGAAUUAAUGUACACAUAUUCAUGUUCUUUGCUGCCAGUGGUUGAUGCUUUAGAACCGAGGUAAUUGGUAACUCUUGCAAUAUCUCAUGCCGUUGGCAUCGUUACAAUAAAUGUAUUAUCGGAAACUCAUUUUGUAAGUCGCAUAUUAGAGUUGAGAAGAUGACGUUCUUUACUAUGUGUUUUUCUCGACGCGUAGAGCAUUUUAUAGAUUCAGUUUUUAGGAAUCUAAGAUAUUUAGAUUCUAAUGAAAAGCAAAAGAAAUUCAUUUACAAGGAAAAAACAUAGUUGUUUGACUCAAAAGAUAUUGAAAUCUCUUUGAACAAUCAAUCAAAGAUGAAGGGGUAAAUCCUAGUCAAACUUAGUUAAUUCCAGAUCGAAAGGUUUAAUAAUGAUGAUUGCAUAAGUGACGAAGGAAAUAUCGAUAAUCUUAUUAAGAUUUAACAUCACUCGAUGAGAAAAGAGAAUUACAAUUGUUUUUCUCCUCUUAGUAUAUAGGAGUGGAGCUUUUCUUUUGAUUUCCCUUCUCUGGGAAUCCAGCCGCCCCCCUAUCGAAAGCCUUCCCUGGCUAUAUAUAGUUGAAAUUCCUUUACCCUGAAUGUGACUUGACGCGUUUUGGUCAAUGGUGCAUUCUGGUCGUAGCUUUAGGCGUUGCUCUUUUUGAUUUGUCGGGUAUCUCAGAGGAGAAAUGGAGUGGACUCUGUUGACUUUCAUUACCCGAUUGCUGAAAAGGGAGUUGUGGGCAACCUGGUCUUGGUGGUCAGAUUUUGACCAAUACAGUUAGUCCCUCUGUCUGUCGGGGUCGUCCUUUGUCGGGCUCGACAGACGGAUCAUGUUUGUAGCGAAGUCGAUAGAAAUCGGACCCCCAACUUUCCAUUCCUUAUUCGCAUUCCGUGGAUUUUUUGGCGGAGUGGAGGUGUUCUUUAGAUACUCGUGGACCGUUGCGAUGGUUUCGGAAUCGAAAUGUCGGUUGGCACUAAAGCGUUGGUCCGUGGUUGCCACCAUUAUGACACACGUUUCUAGGAAACUGAAAUGUUUCGUGCCCUAUCAGAUUCAAAUGGUGACUCAUAGAUUUCAUGCUCGGGGGAUUUAUGUCCCUUAUAAAUAGGGGAACUUGUCAUUUGAUUGAUUUACUUCAUCAUUUUUGUGAGAAAAUUCUUCAGAUAUUGCUUUUUCUGAUACCUUGAAUUUCUCCUUACCUUCUUGCUCUCUGAAACCUUUCGUCUCUUCUUCUUAUUACUUCUCUUGGCGAGUUUUCUACUAAAAAUGGACGACAAUUCUCCUCGCGAUGAUCUUCCUGCCGCUAAUCUGGUACUAGAGAGCCCUGUUCAGAUCGCCGGAGAGGCGGAUGCGGUGGAAGAUGAGGAGGUUCCCUCGGUGGAUGAGAUUCUACCUCGCCCCGGGAGGGAUGCGACUGACUUUAGUUUCGGCGGUGGAGCGGAGCUGGAACCCGUCGCUUCCACUGUUAGAGAAAAUGAGAUUGUAGAUUUGAGGGAACGGUAGGGAAUCCCUAAUUACGUAGAGAUACGGCCGGCGGAGAGGGACCACAGAGUUCACUUUGAUCGUCCUGGGUAUUGCGUGGUCUAUGCCUACCCCAUCAUUGUAGGAUACACACUUCCUCUUCCCAUGUUGGUGGUAGAUUUUUGCCGUUACUACGAAGUGUGCCCCGCUCAGCUUUUGCCUUAUUUAUACACUGCUCAAGUAUGCGGAACUUGCCGGUCAUGAGGUCACUUUGGGCCAUAUGCUUAGCAUUUUUGCUCCUCAACUGAUUUGCGGUACGAUGAUUCACGCAUAUCCUCAGGGGUCGAGGGGUCUGGUGGUGAAGAUGGACGACAGAACCAAUCGUCGUUUCUAUGAGAAUUACUUUUAUGUGUGGACCGAGCACAUUGUGGCGGACUCGACGGGAUUCCCCGAGAGAUGAAACUUCGCACGUAUGUUUGCAUCUUUAAUAAAUGAAAUGUUUGACCAUUUUCUGCGGAUGCUAAACCAUCCCGUCUUUUGUAGUUGAGAGAUUGCCCCCGCUGCCUGUCGAAGGGAUUCGUGAAUGGGUAGAGGCCAUUCUUGCCCAUACAAUGGGAGUUCGCACAUGGUCGACCUUUCACGAGAUGUUCGGAUACAAGCCUCUUAUAGGUGAGAUGAUGCCUUCAUCUACAGUUCUCUCUUUUUCUUUUGUUGUUUAGUCUCUUAUGCAUCGUUCGUCAUUACCAGGGAGGGUGCGAAGAGCAAGGACCCCUCAGCUAGCUUUUUGUCAGCCGGCCGCAUUCGCUCGCCUUGUUGCCGUAUCCACUAUACGACCUUCAUCGAGGGCUGCUUCGGUUGAAUCUUCGGCCUUGGUUACUCCAGCGAGGGCCACUUUUCAGGACGAGGUCCCGACCAAUGUUGUCCGUCUUACGAACGAGUCAUUGUCGACUGGAGAGGAAGAGGGGUCAUCGAAGAGAUGGAGAGUAGAGUUUGAGAUGGCGCCCCCGACAGUGAUUCACCUGGACGACUCUCUCCCGACGGGCUCUGGACAAGGUGUUGUUGCGGCUUCUCCCAUAGAGGCGUGAUAAGUUAGGAUUUUAACGUGUUUAUGCCCCUGCUUGCCUAUGCUUUGAAUAUAAAUUGCUACAAAAUAGUCCCAAAAUGCUCACAAGUUGUGCUUGAUUGCAGGUUUGAUUGACAAAGUGACGAAAUGUCAAAGAUCGGCUCAAAAAGGUGUGAAACCUGCUAAAGUAUCAAAGGCCAAGAGAAUUGAAGAAGUAAGGGCCUAGUGCGGACCGCACAACAGUGACCGCGGCCGCACUAGGAGGUUCAAAGAUAUGACAUAUUUAGGCUUAAAGUCACGCGGCUGCAGUAGGAUUUUCGCGGUCCGCAGUGAACUUCGCGGCCGCACUCCUACUUUGUGUUGUCCGCGUUCAUAAGGUUCAGAGAGUUGGACAAGGGACCAAAACCAUGCCACGCGGUCCGCGUCCUGUUUGUGCGGACCAUGCCAUACCCUCUACGCGGCUGCGCUGCAUUUUCACGCGGUCCACGUCCUCCAGUUUAGAGAGCUUAAAGUUGAAGUCAAUAGAGCCAGUGCGGCCGUGGUUUCUUUUGUGCAGCCCGCACUGACCCCGCAGGGCUAUUUUUGUCCAGUUUUUCCAGCCCACUAUAAAAAGGACAUUUUACCAUUUUUAGGUCAAGUUUGGUAUUCAGAAACGCACCUGAACUCGUGAGACCGAUAUUGUAGCCAUUUUUGGCACUUUUGCUUCC
This 4236-nucleotide long non-coding RNA is filed under the name Nicotiana tabacum (common tobacco). RNAcentral's name for it is "long non-coding RNA (NTAB_LNC005396)". The record is from RNAcentral. Lineage: Eukaryota; Viridiplantae; Streptophyta; Magnoliopsida; Solanales; Solanaceae.